Molecule: non-coding RNA, 234 nt
Filed under: Priestia koreensis
Lineage: Bacteria; Bacillati; Bacillota; Bacilli; Caryophanales; Bacillaceae
Description: Bacillus koreensis T-box sequence
Rfam family: T-box leader
About the family: Uncharged tRNA acts as the effector for transcription antitermination of genes in the T-box leader family. T-boxes are found upstream of many aminoacyl-tRNA synthetase genes and some amino acid biosynthetic genes usually in Gram-positive bacteria.
Source: RNAcentral
ACAAACACGACGAUCAAGAGUAGUAAAAGUUUUUUCUUUGUUACCAGAGAGCUGCGGGGUGGUGAAACGCAGUCAAAGAAAUCUUUGAACUCGCUUGUAAGUGGAAAAGCAGAACGGAAUGUUAUCCUUUUAAGUUUUGACGGUUUGCCUUCGUUAACAGGCCAUACAAGCUGGAUCUAAUCAUCAUUAGAUCAAAAAGAGUGGUACCGCGGUUGAAGGCCAAUCGUCUCUUUC